UAGUUAUGUUCUUUAAACCUAAAGAAUUUGGCGGUGUUUUAGUCUUUUCAGAGGAAUUUGUCCCAUAAUCGAUAGUCCUCGUUUUAAUUGUUCUUAAUUUUGUUUUCAGUAUGUAUACCGCCGUUAUAAGUUUAUUUUUUUAGAUUUAAUAAUUUACUAAUAUUUUUAUUAGAAUUUAUUUCAGGUCAAGGUGCAGCUUAUAGUUAAGUGGAGAUGAAUUACAAUAUUAUGUUGAAUAUAUGGAUAUGAAUUUGAAAUGUUUAUUUAAGGUGGAUUUGUUAGUAAUUAUAUGAAUAUUAUUAUUUUGAUUUUAGCUCUAAAAUAAGUACACAUCGCCCGUCGCUCUA
RNAcentral lists this ribosomal RNA (347 nucleotides) under Dimorphodes sp. 2 SB-2021. RNAcentral's name for it is "partial small subunit ribosomal RNA". The record is from RNAcentral. Lineage: Eukaryota; Metazoa; Arthropoda; Insecta; Phasmatodea; Phasmatidae.